GAUGAAGAACGCAGCGAAAUGCGAUAAGUAAUGUGAAUUGCAGAAUUCAGUGAAUCAUCGAAUCUUUGAACGCACCUUGCGCCCUUUGGCCAUUCCGAAGGGCAUGCCUGUUUGAGUAUCGUGAACACCUCAACUCUCAUGGUCUGCCAUGAUGAGCUUGGACUUUGGGGGUCUUGCUGGCCUACUGUCAGCUCCUCUCAAAUGAAUCAGCUUACCAGUGUUUGGUGGCACCACAGGUGUGAUAACUAUCUACGCUUGUGGUUUUCUGCCAGGUAACCUCCAGUGAUGGAGGUUCGCUGGAGCUCACAAAUGUCUCUCCUCAGCCAGGACAGCUUUUUGAACGUUUGAUCUCAAAUCAGGUAGGACUACCCGCUGAACUUAAGCAUAUCAAUAAGCGGAGGA
This 402-nucleotide unclassified non-coding RNA is filed under the name soil metagenome. RNAcentral's name for it is "partial contains 5.8S ribosomal RNA, internal transcribed spacer 2, and large subunit ribosomal RNA". The stretch from base 1 to 121 matches the Rfam family "5.8S ribosomal RNA", at positions 35 to 154 of the family's 154-position model. The record is from RNAcentral.